Molecule: transfer RNA, 64 nt
Filed under: Smaragdina concolor
Lineage: Eukaryota; Metazoa; Arthropoda; Insecta; Coleoptera; Chrysomelidae
Description: tRNA-Gly
Source: RNAcentral
AUUUAAAUAAUAUAAAAAUUAUAUUUGACUUCCAAUCAGAAAAUCUAGAAUCCUAGUUUAAAUA